GGCUGCGCACUUCGGUCUUUUAGGUUGGCGUUCGCGAUCGUUUGGUCGUGUGGUAGGUGAGUGGGUGUUGUGGGCUAGUACCCGAGCAAAAGAUGGUGGCGCAGGCCGAGGAACAAUGGCGCUGUCUUCAGUGGCACAGCGGAGCAGCUCUGAAGAUGCAAAGAUACACGAAAAAACUUCCAGAACAUCUGGGAGAAUAUUUAAUGGAAAAUCUCUUGGUUAAAACCUGACACUCUUUAACAGCAUUCUGAGUGUGGACGAGUAGCCAGUGAAGAUAGUGAAUGUCGAAUGUGACUGACUAGCAGCUUCAUUUUGAAUGAGGGUCGCUGUCUGCCCAUUGAUAGAGGCCAGAUUGUCUUGGAAGUUCCAAAGUUGCAACGAUUUCUGGCUAGUGCCACGAGGUUUACUUGACUGUGUGAAAAGCUGAUAAGAAAACCAUCCAGAAAAAAGCUCUUCGUUUUACAAACAUGAAAAUAAAACUUAGUUGAAUCCAUGGACAUGAAACCCACAGAUAUAGAGGGUUGGCCCGGUGCAGUGGCUCACGCCUGUAAUCACAGCACUUUGGGAGGCCAAGGCGGGUGGAUCACCUGAGGUCAGAAGCUUGAGACCAGCCUGGCCAACAUGGUAAAACCCCAGCUCUACUAAUAAUACAAAACAAUUUGCUGGGCAUGGUGGCGCACACUUGUAAUCCAAGCUACUCCAGAGGCUGAGGCAGAAGAAUCGCUUGAAUCCGAGAGGCAAAGGUUGCAGUGAGCCCAGAUCACACCACUGCUCUCCAACCUGGGCAACAAGAGCAAAACUCUGUCAAAAAAAAAAAAGAUAGAGGGUCAACUGUACACAUUAAACACUUCUAUCAACUAGUGAUAUCAGUCUUGUCCAUUGUAUUAUUGCCUAUCUUACUAAGCAGUCAUAUUUCAGGAAGUACAACAUACUCAAAAACUAUGUUAAUGUUCUUUGUAGAUUUAUGGUUAAUGGAUGAGUCAUAUAAUAGAAACUUAAAUUUAUUUGACCAUUCUAUUUAAUAUAGAAUAAAUACAACUGGCCAGGCACGGUGGCUCAUGUCUAUAAUGCCAGCACUUGGGGAGGCCAAGGUGGGAGGAUCACUUGAGCAUAGGAAUUCAAGGCCAGCCUGGGCAACACAAUGUGAGACCCGUCUCUAUGAAAAUUUUAAAAAUUAGCCAAGCAUGGUAACACAAGUCUGUGGUCCCAGCUACUUGGGAGACUGAGGCGCAAGAAGUCCAGGAGGUCAACGCUGCAGUGAGCUGUGUCUGUGCCACUGCAUCCUAGCCUGGGCAACAGAGCAAGACCUUGUCUCAAAAAUAAAGAAUAAAUACAACCUAUUAAGCUUGAGAGAUCCAGUGAAAUCCAAAUAAGAGAAACUGUGUCCUACACAGUUUUCUGUUAACCAUUUUCUUGGUAUUUAAAUUAUUUAUCAAAUUUUAACUUCAAUAAAAAAUUAUUCUGGAGAACACAUACCUCUAGAGUAAGUAAAGUAUACAUUUUCAAUUUUUAGACAUGAGGUUUUGAGGUGUUUGACUGUAUCUAAUUUCCUAAAGGCUCUAUUUUUUAACCUAUAAAAAUUAUAAAAAGAUAUAUAAAAGAUAUGAAAUGUGAAAAUAAGGAAGAUAUGAAGAUUAAAAUAACCUAUAAUCCCACCACUCAGAGGUAACUGUUAUACAAUUUUUGAUGUAUUAUUCUAUGCAGAUAUUAAUUUUAAUAAAAUUUGAAUUAUA
Molecule: long non-coding RNA, 1733 nt
Organism: Gorilla gorilla gorilla (western lowland gorilla)
Lineage: Eukaryota; Metazoa; Chordata; Mammalia; Primates; Hominidae
Exons: 7
Source: RefSeq, a predicted model, not a curated record